This 520-nucleotide ribosomal RNA is filed under the name uncultured bacterium. Its description in RNAcentral is "bacterial SSU rRNA". It matches the Rfam family "Bacterial small subunit ribosomal RNA", at positions 83 to 624 of the family's 1533-position model. The record is from RNAcentral.
UGGUGCUGGCGAGUGGCGAACUGGUGAGUAACGCGUAAGAAUCUACCCUCUGGUGGGGGAUAACUCAUGGAAACAUGGGCUAAUACCGCAUGAAGCCGAAAGGUGAAAGGAGAAAUCCGCCAGGGGAUGAGCUUGCGUCCCAUUAGCUAGUUGGUGGGGUAAAGGCCUACCAAGGCGAUGAUGGGUAGCUGGCCUGAGAGGGUGGUCAGCCACACUGGGACUGAGAUACGGCCCAGACUCCUACGGGAGGCAGCAGCUAAGAAUCUUCCUCAAUGGGGGAAACCCUGAAGGAGCGACACUGCGUGCAGGAUGAAGGCCCUUUGGGUUGUAAACUGCUUUUGUAGGGGAGAAAUAACCAUAUGGGAUGAUAGUACCCUACGAAUAAGUCCCGGCUAACUACGUGCCAGCAGCCGCGGUAAAACGUAAGGGGCGAACGUUGCUCGGAAUUACUGGGCGUAAAGGGCCAGUAGGUGGCUUUAUAAGUCAGUUGUCAAAUACCUAUGCUCAACGUAGGAGAGGC